GGGGUGCCAACCUGUCCUGACGUGCACUAAUGGCAACAAUCAACAGGUCACGAAUGAGGCGGGACUUCGUUCGCAUCGAAGGGGUCAGGGGUUCGAAUCCCCUCAUCUCCA
RNAcentral lists this transfer RNA (111 nucleotides) under Nonomuraea phyllanthi. RNAcentral's name for it is "Nonomuraea sp. PA1-10 tRNA-Ala". Lineage: Bacteria; Bacillati; Actinomycetota; Actinomycetes; Streptosporangiales; Streptosporangiaceae. The record is from RNAcentral.